RNAcentral lists this unclassified non-coding RNA (186 nucleotides) under uncultured fungus. RNAcentral describes it as "sequence contains ITS1". The record is from RNAcentral. Lineage: Eukaryota; Fungi.
UUGAUUUUAUUUAAAACUCCACUCAGAAUACGUUUUGGAAAACAAAAUACAGUUGGAUUUGGGUCCUCUGGCGGGCCCCCGAGGUUAGUCGGGGGUGGUCCGCCGAAGCAACAAACAUGGUAUGUUCACAGGGGUUUGGGAGUUGUAAACUCGGUAAUGAUCCCUCCGCUGGUUCACCAACGGAGA